GACGAACGCUGGCGGCGUGCUUAACACAUGCAAGUCGAACGGAAAGGCCCUGCUUUUGUGGGGUGCUCGAGUGGCGAACGGGUGAGUAACACGUGAGUAACCUGCCCUUGACUUUGGGAUAACUUCAGGAAACUGGGGCUAAUACCGGAUAGGAGCUCCUGCUGCAUGGUGGGGGUUGGAAAGUUUCGGCGGUUGGGGAUGGACUCGCGGCUUAUCAGCUUGUUGGUGGGGUAGUGGCUUACCAAGGCUUUGACGGGUAGCCGGCCUGGGAGGGUGACCGGCCACAUGGGGCCUGGGGAGCGGCCCAGACCCCUAGGGGGGGCAGGGGGGGGGAAUUUUGCCCAAGGGGCGGAAGCCUGAGGCAGCAACGCCGGGUGCGGGAUGACGGCCUUCGGGUUGUAAACCGCUUUCGCCUGUGACGAAGCGUGAGUGGCGGUAAUGGGUAAAGAAGCACCGGCUAACUACGU
This 467-nucleotide ribosomal RNA is filed under the name uncultured bacterium. RNAcentral describes it as "partial 16S ribosomal RNA". It matches the Rfam family "Bacterial small subunit ribosomal RNA", at positions 28 to 506 of the family's 1533-position model. The record is from RNAcentral.